Leucoraja erinaceus (little skate) is the source of this 4117-nucleotide long non-coding RNA. RefSeq lists it as uncharacterized. The transcript is spliced from 3 exons. The record is from RefSeq and is a predicted model, not a curated record. NCBI's taxonomy places the organism in Eukaryota, Metazoa, Chordata, Chondrichthyes, Rajiformes, Rajidae.
GGGAGAAACGUGUAAACUCCACACAGGCAGCACCCGGGGUCAGGAUCGCACCAGGGUCUCGGGCGCUGUCGGGCAGCAGCUCCACCAGCCGCGCCACUGUUCAGUUUAUUUUUCCCCAUCCUUCCAGUCCACAUGCAAACAGUGUUUCCAGGGGCUGGAGAUAGAGUUGAAGUUGAGUCGGGAGUUUGGUAGGUUGACAAUUUAGCAGCGGGCAAGACAAGACUGCCACGCGGCACUGGUCGAGGGUGGGUUCAGGUUAGUGAACGAGAAGUGAUAAAGUAACAGUAGAAUGAAAUGUAGAAUGAAUGAAUAGGAAUGAAAAGCAGAAUGUCCCAGACAGAGGUAGGACAUGUAAUUGGAACAGUGCCUCAGAGAAAGGCAAACAGUGUGGUGAGGGGGGAUGGGAGUAAAGAGCCAGGAUUGCAUGUUCUUUACAUGAAUACAUCAAGCAUUCACUGCAGGUUAAAUUAAUUUGUGGCAUAAAUACGAAAAAAUGGAUUGACCCAAUAUUCUUCAUCUUGCGUGUGCGUGCAUAGCCUAAAGUUGUAGAUCAAGGGUAGACAUCCAGGCCAGGACAGCAUCAGUUACUGGGUGGAUGGCUUUGAUGCCACCAGGGAAAAGCCUCAGUGGGCAGUCAUUCAUGAUGUGUGGGGUGGUCUGGUCUGGAUGUCCGCAGUUGCAAGCAGGGCUGUCUGUCAUCCCUCACUUAUGCAGGUGAUGGGCUGUUCUUGCAUGGAGGGCGCGGAUUCUGUUCAGGGUUCGCCAUUGCUUGCGAUGGAGGUCAAAACCUGGUGGUUUCACUGUGCUCUCACCGUUGUUGGUGUUGGCAUCUUUCCAGGCUCUGCACUACUCAGCCUUGACUAUGAAUUUGGAUUGAGAUAGAACUGAAAAGGGACAGAAAGUGGAUAGUGGGGACUCAGCAGCUAAAAGGGCUGUUUCUGCAUGGUGUACCUCUAUGACUCCUUGACAAGGACAAUAAAGUGUUGGUCCAAUUUGGGAUAUGUUAGGAUCCAUUCAUAUGUAACUGGAUAGGGUUAAUUAACAAUCUCAUGCUUGGAUAUCCCCUCGGGAAUAGUGAGUAUAACAUUAUGGAACUUCACAUUUAGUUUGAGAUUGACAAGUUUAAGUCUGAAGCUAAAGAUUUAAACUUAAAUCAAGGCAAUUACACAGGGCACAAUGGGAAAGUUAGAUGAAAUAGAUUGGGAACUUAAACUAAAAGGUUAUAUGGUUCGUAGGUUGUGGCAGACAGAAGGAUUUUUAAAAUAUAAUUCUAAACUAAUGUACACAUUCCAUUGAGAUAUAAAGACUCCAUGGGAAAAGUGAUACUUUGUGGUUCACCUAAGAUGUUCAGAAUGGUAUUAAAUUUAAAGAAAAGCCUUAUAAAGUUACACACAACAGUAACAGGCCUGAGAACUGGGUGAAUUUUCAAGCUUGUAAAGAGUGACUAAAGAAAUUAAGAGGAAGGAAAUGGAAGAUGAAAGCAAACUAGUGAGAAAUACAUAAAUGGAUUGAAAGAGCAUCUGCAAAUAUAUUUAAAAAAGGAGCAAAUGUUGAUCCCAUGAAAUAGGUAUGUUACAAUACUUACCUUCAGCGGCUCUGCAAUUCUGCCACUGGCCAUGUGCGCGAUUUUGGCGCCUUUGAGGGGGGGGGUUAAAACGCGUUUUUUUUCCUACCUUGCCCUGGAUUAUAUUUGGUUGGAAUGCAAGCUUUUGCUGAAGAAUCGUUCCGACGGGCGUUCUGUGUAUUUUUUUUUUAAUCGCCCGACAGGUUCAGCGCUGGAGUAAUUUUAAAAUCAGCUUCUAAAGCCGUCAACGACGACAACGGGGACGGAUUUCACGCACGGACAGAAGAGCGAGCAGAAGCAGGACACGACUGUUUAUUUGUUAUAGAGGAGGAAACAUCAGUGAGAGAGGACUUGAGGGAUGUACCCAUGGAUGACCCUGACAUCACAUUAUAUGUGGGCGGUAAUGCAUCCAUUGGACCGCGGGGUGAGAGGUUGUCUGGAUAUACAAUUAUUAAUCAAAAGACAGAAAUUGUAGAAGCAGCUGCUUUUGAAUCACCCUAUUCAGUGCAAUAAGCUGAAUUAUUCACUUUAAUUCAGGCUUGUAUUAUUGGGGAAGGAUCUAAAAGUAAAAAUCUACACUGAUUCUCGAUAUGCAUUUGGGGUGGUGCAUGAUUUUGGACAAUUGUGGAGGAAUAGGGCAUUUCUAACUUCUGCAGGAACCCAAAUAUCACACAAACAAUUGGUGACAAAUUUAUUGAAGGCCUUAAUGCUACCCAGACAAAUCUCUGUAAUAAUAUGUAGUGCCCAUACUAAAGGACAGACCCCAGUAGACAUUGGAAAUCAUAAUGCCGAUUUAGUAGCCAAAGGAGUAUCAUCGGAACGUAAGGUGGUGGUACCUAGAAUGAUGAGGCAGACUAAAAGUGUAACUAACAAGUCCCCCUAGGAGAAGCUGAUGCUGACCAUCCAAGAAUUGUUCGAUUACAAGAAGAGGCUAUUGAAGGAGAUAAGGAGAGAUGGAGACACCUAGGAUGUGUACUGAAUUAUAUGCUAAAUUAAAGACACAUAAAAUGAAGGAUCCCUGCAUGUGUCAGAAUUGCUUAACCUUGUCAGCUGAACUUUACUGGCUUUGAUUGGCUCCAGCCAGUCUAGGCUCAGACUGAUAUGCAGGAUGGUAAGGGGUACAGGUGUUCUCCCUGUUUCUCUUAAAUUGAUAACAUGUGUAGUGGUUUUGCAAACUAACCUUAAAUGCAUCAUUUCUAUUGGUUUGCUGCAAAAGCAUUGUAAACAGUAUACAUAAUGGUGCAAGAUGGUCAUCCUGUUAAUUGAUGAUUGGUCGAACUGUUGAGCCUUGGAGAAAUUGUUUGAAUCUCAGGGCACAUGUUUCAAUGUUUGUUCUUGUUAGCUUCCUUCAAGAGCUUUCUUUCUUAUACAAUGUAUGAGCUGUGGUAUUAUUGGGUUAGGGAAAUGUCUGUUAUGUAUGGGGUUAAUCGAUAUCUACCAAUCGAACCAAUGUCCAACAACAUUGGGAAAAUGGAAAUCUGCUCAACAAAGAUCAUUAGAUUUUUCAGACGGAAUAAAAUCAAAAGAAGUUCACAACACAAGAGAAUUAAUUGUCAUGUUGGUUGAAACAGAAAUGUUCAUUCAAUCCCAUUUCUCUGCUCUUGGUCUAUCAACCUGUACUUACAGCAUAACAAAGAGGUGGGAGAUUGCAACCUUCACGUGGUCCACCCUGUUUCGACGAAUGCAAUCAACCUGAUGUGCUCAAUCAAAUAAGAUCAAAUAGAACAAGUUGUCCUCCAACUUGUGCAAGAAGAAGCAACAUUACAAGCCUUCAUCUAAGAAUGUUUUUAAUGCAAAGAGAAUUACUUGCUCUAUAUAACCAUAUAACAAUUACAGCAUGGAAACAGGCCAUCUCGACCCUUCUAGUCCGUGCCGAACACGUAUUCUCCCCUAGUCCCAUAUACCUGCGCUCAGACCAUAACCCUCCAUUCCUUUCCCGUCCAUAUAACUAUCCAAUUUAUUUUAAAUGAUAAAAACGAACCUGCCUCCACCACCUUCACUGGAAACUCAUUCCACACAGCCACCACUCUCUGAGUAAAGAAGUUCCCCCUCAUGUUACCCCUAAACUUCUGUCCCUUCAUUCUCAAGUCAUGUCCUCAACUCUACUGCUCUGUUAAGCAGUGAACUUCAAACCACCACCAACCAAAAGAUGAAGGCAUUUUUUUUCAAAUCCCUUCUAUUCCUUCCACCAGUUAUCUUAUGUUGUCUUAUCUGAAUAUAGAACAUAGGACAUAGAUCAAUACAGCACAAGAACAGGGCCUUCGACCCACAAUGUCUAUGCCUAGCAUGAUGCCAAGACCAACUCAUAUCUGCAGCCACAUAAUCCAUAUCCCUCCAUUCCCUGCACACCCAUGUGCCUAUCUAAAGGUCGCUUAAAUGCCAUUAUCGUAUCUGCCACCACCACCAACCACGACAGCGCAUUCCAGGCACUCAUCCCUCUGUAAAAAAAUGUGCCCUGCACAUCUCCUUUAAACUUUGCCCCUCUCACCUUAAAGCUAUGCCCUUUAGUAUUUGACUUUUGAAAUCCUGGGAAAAUUAUUCUGACUGUCUACC